Molecule: ribosomal RNA, 490 nt
Filed under: uncultured bacterium
Lineage: Bacteria
Description: bacterial SSU rRNA
Rfam family: Bacterial small subunit ribosomal RNA
Source: RNAcentral
UUAUGGCUCAGGAUGAACGCUGGCGGCGUGCUUAACACAUGCAAGUCGAACGGGCUUAGAUCGGAAGCUUGCUUUGAUUAAGUAGUGGCGGACGGGUGAGUAACGCGUGGGUAACCUACCCUGUGCAGGGGGAUAGCAGCUGGAAACGGCUGAUAAAACCGCAUAACACGGCGAUGCCGCAUGGCAAUGCCGUCAAAUAUUUAUAGGCACAGGGAUGGGCCCGCGUCUGAUUAGCUAGUUGGCGGGGCAACGGCCCACCAAGGCGACGAUCAGUAGCCGGCCUGAGAGGGUGAACGGCCACAUUGGGACUGAGACACGGCCCAAACUCCUACGGGAGGCAGCAGUGGGGAAUAUUGGACAAUGGGGGAAACCCUGAUCCAGCGACGCCCGCGUGAGUGAGAAGUAUUUCGGUAUGUAAAGCUCUAUCAGCAGGGAAGAUGAUGACGGUACCUGACUAAGAAGCACCGGCUAAAUACGUGCCAGCAGCGGC